RNAcentral lists this transfer RNA (88 nucleotides) under Camelus ferus (Wild Bactrian camel). It matches the Rfam family "tRNA". From Rfam's summary of the family: Transfer RNA (tRNA) molecules are approximately 80 nucleotides in length. Their secondary structure includes four short double-helical elements and three loops (D, anti-codon, and T loops). The record is from Rfam by way of RNAcentral. Lineage: Eukaryota; Metazoa; Chordata; Mammalia; Artiodactyla; Camelidae.
CCUUCGAUAGCUCAGUUGGUAGAGCGGAGGACUGUAGACAUUGAAUGUGGUCAUCCUUAGGUCGCUGGUUCGAAUCCGGCUCGAAGGA